GCGGGGCUUCCACGGAGGCCUCCGUGUAGGCCGCAGUGAAGCCUGAACUCGAGUAGGGCCCAAGCCAGCCAGGAAGGAGGAGGCAGCCAGAGAGGCCUCCACUGUUCUCUGCAGCAGAAGACCCCCCUGCUGCCAGAUGUACAGACGAUUGGUACUUCUGAUGAAGAUGUUUUUGAAACCAACUAUCACUUAGGGAGUAUGUCAAGGUUCAGGCUUCAAGGUUCCUGUGCAAAGCUUCUAGUUUCAAGGUUCCUGUGCAGAGUGUGUUACCUCGUACUCAUGAGGAUUGAUUUUCAGCAAAUCGGCACCAUCAGCAUCUUAUCAGCUAUUUUACACGAUCAGCAUUCCAGUGACUGUUGUAGUAUGGAUGCCUGUGGGAGUUUGUUGUUAUAUGUGGAGUAUUGCUUUA
Molecule: long non-coding RNA, 409 nt
Organism: Hemicordylus capensis (graceful crag lizard)
Lineage: Eukaryota; Metazoa; Chordata; Lepidosauria; Squamata; Cordylidae
Exons: 2
Source: RefSeq, a predicted model, not a curated record